GUAAGCUUCCUAGGUGACCCUUCUGUAAUGUAAUUAUCUGUCACAUUCUGAGUUUUGGAUGACCUUCCCAGUCUGGCUUAGAAGAGAGAGUUAGUGGGGUCCUCAGAAGCCGUCUUGCUCCACGUUUGUCUUCUUGGCUGCUCUGUCGGUGAAGGAGAGCUGCACUCCUGCUCCGAGAGUUCUCUGAGGAGACAUUGGGUUUUCCUGGCAGGCAGAGCCUCAGGCUACUCAGCGGAAUGUCUUUGGUUCUGUAGCUUCAGGAGGAGCCAGGAGGCUGUGCUUCCAGGCCAAGGGAAACACGGCUUCAGACUCAAGACCACGACUUGGCGGAGACUCCGGGGCCCGCUGAAUUUAGGAGAGGGCUCUUUCGUACCCCUUACUUACCCGAACCACUCUUUCCCACUGAAAGUAAGAGGAGGAUGGAAUGACCCAAGAAAUCUGGUUUAUUCACUAGCACACAACAAUUCCUGGGUGAAAUGGAUUCCAGUCUCCUUUUGGAACUAGAGGAAAGGGAGUGCCUCCUUCCCUAGCCGAGAGGGAAGGAGAAGGAAGCCAGAGUCAAAAUCAGACAUCUCGAGUCUCAGCAGCAGUCUUGGUCUGUGCUUAGACAAAUAAUCUUGAGGAGACCCAAAUCCCCUGUUCAUUGGGAAAACAGACAGUGCCAGAGUGAAACAGAAUUAAAUUGUUUCUCUUUCAUGGCAGCUGAAGUGUAAAAACCAUUCUAUUCCGACCUUGUGGUCGGAAUAUCCUGACACCUCAUAAAUUAUCCUAAGGGCUCGGGGCCUGGGAGGCUGGGGAAGGCUGCAAGGCCACACCACAGUCAGCCCUGUGAGAGGCGGCAGCAGCGCCUCGCUCCUGCCCUCUCUCAGACGCAGGCACCGACGUCAGGAUGCGGAGGAAUGCAGUUUCCUCAAAGUCAGUUUUUCUGAGUUACGGCCAGUAUUUUCCCCUCUUUUCAUGUUUUUAGAGUUUGCACGGCUACAGGGCCUACUUUCAUGACUAGUUUAUUAAGGAGGCAGGAGAAGCACAGUGAUAGCUCCCAAGUCUGACAGAACCUGUGAGGUGGUUUUGUCUUAAGGGGAAAAAAGAGAAGGAGGGGAAGGAAAAGGAAGAGGGAAGAGGAAAUGUGAAUGAGAGAAAGAAAUGGUCUGUCCAUUCAGAUGUGGCCUUCCCCUCUCCGCUCCACACCCAUCUGGUCGCAAAGGAGCAAAGAAGCCUCCUCAGCAGAAGAGAAUGCUUGUCCUUCCUGCCUUCCUGCCUCCCAGGGAGCUUCCUUCAGCUCCUGCAUCAUCUGUGCCCUCCACACAGUAGGUGCUCUGUAAACGUUUGCUGAGUGGAAAGAUCCACAGAUUGGUCCCGAGAGGGAAACAGAUUUAUUUUGGGAAACUCUAAGUAUGUAAAGUCACUUGGAGCAAACAAUAUUCCUGCAGCUUGAAUCACCAUAAGGUUUAAAGAAUCUGGGUAUUUGUGGGUGUGUCUGGAUGUAUUGUGUGUGGGAGCAUGGGUGGGUGGUCUGGACGGGUGGGUAAUAAGUGACAGGAGGGCCCUUGAACAUAUAAAGGGCUCCAUAACUACUGUAAAAAUAAAACUGGGAACGGCAUGCCCAGACCUCCAGCCAUGCAGUGACCAGACCUGACCUUGGCAGAGAUGAAUAAUAUUGUAGAGAUGGAUUCAAG
Molecule: long non-coding RNA, 1676 nt
Organism: Equus asinus (donkey)
Lineage: Eukaryota; Metazoa; Chordata; Mammalia; Perissodactyla; Equidae
Source: Ensembl